CCUACGGGAGGCAGCAGUAGGGAAUUUUGCUCAAUGGGGGAAACCCUGACGCAGCAACGCCGCGUGCUCGAUGAAGCCCUUCGGGGUGUAAAGAUCUGUCAGUAGGGACGAAACCGGACGGUACCCACAGAGGAAGCACCGGCUAACUCCGUGCCAGCAGCCGCGGUAAUACGGGGGGUGCAAGCGUUGUCCGGAAUCAUUGGGGGUAAAGAGUUCGUAGGUGGCACGUUAAGUCUGGUGUUAAAGGCGGAAGCUCAACUUCCGUAGGGCAUUGGAUAUUGGCGAGCUUGAAUGCGGUAGCGGUAAAGGGAAUGCCUGGUGUAGCGGUGAAAUGCGUAGAGAUCAGAAGGAACAUCGGUGGCGUAGGCGCUUUACUGGGCCGUAAUUGACACUGAGGAACGAAAGCCGGGGUAGCAAAUGGGAUUAGAUACCCGGGUAGUC
This 441-nucleotide ribosomal RNA is filed under the name uncultured bacterium. RNAcentral's name for it is "partial 16S ribosomal RNA". It matches the Rfam family "Bacterial small subunit ribosomal RNA", at positions 338 to 795 of the family's 1533-position model. The record is from RNAcentral.